Equus caballus (horse) is the source of this 878-nucleotide long non-coding RNA. RefSeq lists it as uncharacterized. The record is from RefSeq and is a predicted model, not a curated record. Lineage: Eukaryota; Metazoa; Chordata; Mammalia; Perissodactyla; Equidae.
AAGCCGGGAGGAGGGGGUCCCGGGCGCCCAGGGCUCCAGGAGGGGGCGGCCUGGCGGCUCCUCGCCCCCUCCCGCUUUCUCUUCUACUUGUUGCCCCUGGGUCGCCUGGAUUUACGGAGUCACUGCAGCCAGGGCUGGGAGAACAAGACAUCUAGAAGACGGUGUGAGGUGUUAGAGGAAGCUGGAAAUUAAAAUGCCUGGGUUCCGGAGAAGGGCUGAGUCUGAGGGUGGAAAGGUCCUUAGGGAAGGUCUGAGUGAAGAGAUUGCAAUCAAUGGACCCAAAGAGGUGGGAAUACAAGCUUGCAACUGAGAUCAGUAUGGCGAGCAGAAGAUGACAGAAGAUCCAGAACUGAGGCUCACCCUUGCAGAGAUGGCCUGGAUUAGGGUGGGGAAGGGAGCGUCUAUCCAGGGCCUGAACCCACGGCAUUCCCCACUAAGGGGAGCCCCGAGGAGUCUUCUGGACCAUCUUCCCCCACCUUCAACCUGAACAUUCCCCUGUGUCUUCCUCCCUAGUCCUCAAACCCAAAGAGAAGAGAUUCCUGCCCUUCUCUCCUGGAGGUCUCGGCUUAAACAUCACUGCUUCCAGGAAGCCCUUCCUGACUCUGCAAGACUGUGUUCAAGUGUCCCUAUGAUGUGUUCCUGUAAACAUCCUGGCACUUGUCGCACUGUGUUCCCAUUGCCCACUCGACGUGAACUCCAGGCAUGAAGGUACCCUGUCCAUCUUGUUUAUCAUCAUAUCCCCAGGACCUAGCACAGUGCCUGGCACAUAGUAGAUGCUCAAAAAAUAUUUGUUACAAUAACAAGGCCAGCCUCCCCCGUGCUCAGCUGUGUCCCAGCCCUAGCGCCAGGCCAGCCCUCUGAGCCCUGGACUCACCUGA